UACGAAGGUCCCAAGCGUUAUCCGGAUUUAUUGGGUUUAAAGGGUGCGUAGGCGGACUAUUAAGUCAGUGGUGAAAGCCCCAAGCUUAACUUGGGAACUGCCAUUGAUACUGAUGGUCUUGAGUACAUUUGAGGUGGGCGGAAUGUGUCAUGUAGCGGUGAAAUGCUUAGAUAUGACACAGAACACCGAUUGCGAAGGCAGCUCACUAAACUGUAACUGACGCUGAGGCACGAAAGUGUGGGGAUCAAACAGG
This 253-nucleotide ribosomal RNA is filed under the name uncultured bacterium. RNAcentral's name for it is "partial 16S ribosomal RNA". It matches the Rfam family "Bacterial small subunit ribosomal RNA", at positions 524 to 776 of the family's 1533-position model. The record is from RNAcentral.